This is a long non-coding RNA of Larimichthys crocea (large yellow croaker), 915 nucleotides long. RefSeq lists it as uncharacterized. Lineage: Eukaryota; Metazoa; Chordata; Actinopteri; Sciaenidae. The record is from RefSeq and is a predicted model, not a curated record. The transcript has 2 exons.
UCCUUUUGUUAAAACGAUUCAAACUUUCUUUUAAUAAAAUACCUUUUGUUUAUUAACCUUAAAAUCUGGUUUUAUGUUACUUCUUUCAUACCCCGAUAUCUGGUCAUAACAACCCCCAUCAGGCAAAUCUCCUAGCUCAAGUGAUGUGCAACUAACAGAGGAAGCAGUCCGGCGGUACCUGAUCCGUAAACCGAUGACCACCAAAGACCUGCUGAAGAAGUUCCAGACCAAGCGCACAGGUUUAAGCAGUGAGCAGACUGUCAAUGUGCUGGCACAGAUCCUGAAGCGCCUAAACCCAGAGCGCAAAAAUGUCAAUGACAAAAUGCACUUCUACCUCACUGAAUAACCGAUGGAAGGGAGGGAUGCAACGGGUGGCUGGGUGGGCGGUGAAGAGGAUUGAGAAGAGAAGGAGAGGCUGAAAAUGAAAACUGCAUUUUACCCCUGAAGGAGAGGUUUUGUGUUUAAUGUUGUGACAUGCCACAGUGUCAAGGAUUAAAAGCCACUUCAUGGGAGGCAUUUAUCAAAAAGUAUUUUGUUAUGUAUCUUGAAUUUGUUUUUCAUAGUCUGAAAUAUCUCUGUAAAUAACAGGAACAGUGUUAAUGAGUGAGCUGAGAACCUUCCCCAUUUCCCCAUUUCAUAUAAAAGACAACACCCACAAGAAGUGGUUUAAAUGUGAAUUUAUUAUGGAGACACUAGUGUGUGGAAUAGUGCAAUGUUAAUAGCAUUAGAUAAAAGUAUAGAAAAUCAUUUAUUUCUCAAUCUCAUUCUAAAUCAUUCAGUUUUAUUGGGAUAGAAUUACAUUAUUCAUAAAUCAUUACAUUAGAUAAGAAAGGUGUAAGUGAUAACCCUGAUGUGAAAUUCCAGAGAUUAAAAGAAGGCUUCAAUGUACUGAAGAAUAUGUCUAUGAUCGGUUAA